AACGGGAAUGCUUAAUUUUUCAGGAAGAAAACUGGAAUUACACGAGUUUGAGCCUAUUGUCAUGAGGGUGUCCAAAGCGUCGAUGCCAAAGACACCAUUUUUUAUUAGCUAAUGAAAAUUUGGAAGCUAAAGAAACAAAAUAACAAAAUAGAACAGAAUACUUUUUGGCGCAAUGAGGUGUAGAAGGGAUAUCCAGGUCCAACGGGAAAUUGCCCUUGCUUAUGACCCUUCCUGAUCAGUUUCCCAGUUUGCAGGUCCUAAUAAACCAGCAGCGGAGAAAGCAGAGGAUAUAGCACCUAGAAGAGCUGAUUGUAAAGUAG
This 320-nucleotide unclassified non-coding RNA is filed under the name Hevea brasiliensis (rubber tree). The record is from RNAcentral. Lineage: Eukaryota; Viridiplantae; Streptophyta; Magnoliopsida; Malpighiales; Euphorbiaceae.